AUAUUUUUCAAAUGAUUUUUUUAAUAUUUAUUUAUAGUUAUAUUUAUAGAAUAAGGGUAUAAUAAUAUUUUACCUCUUUAAUGAAAACUAUUUUGGUAUUUCUUCUCUUUACGUGUUCUUUUGGUAAAAACCGCGUUUUAGGAUCUCUUAUGAGAUUUGCCAUAUUUCACGUAAUUAGUUUUAUAGAAUCCGACAAAAUACCACAUGAUGUUUUAAGCUUCAGUAAAAUUUUAUGUUUGAUUUACAGUUAAACUUCGGUUACUCCAUAUGGUAUUAAAGAGAUUUAAGAAUUUGUAAUCUGAUUCACAUUUAAAUUUCAGUUACUCCAUAUGUCUUUUUUGGGUCUAAAUGUUAAACUCCAUAUCGAUAUUGGGUUGGUUUAUAAGUUUGUGUUUGUAACUCUUGGAGUAGAUUGUGCUCGUUGGCUUUGGGUUGGUUUAUAAGUUUGUGUUUGUAACUCUUGGAGUAGAUUGUGCUCGUCGGCUUCCGGAAGCUGUAGAUAACCAGUACAUUUAAGGUUUGAACCGCCUUUCUUUCGGUACUCGUGGUAACUGUUUUUCUGUGUAGCCCUUUCCUUCUCAUGGGUUGGAACCCGUUUCGUUGGCUUCCAUUUCCAUUCACUCAGCUCAUGUCCUUCUUAGAGUGUUAGUAUUGUUGUGUUUUAACUUCUUUUUUUAGUUUCAGGGAAAAUGGCAUAUUUCAACCUGAAAUACACGAAAAUUAAAAAAUAAUAUAUGAAAUUUACGCGUUGUGCAUUUUCAUUCCCAAACUUUAUAGUAGUGCAUAUUCUAUGCUAAACUAAACAAAAAAUCAAAAAUACUACAUGAACUCUCAAUAUCGCUCUUAUAUAUAUUUGACCAUCAGAGAUAUUAGUCAUGUGUCAAUUUAUCAAAACGACGUCCUUUUGGAUAAAUUAUGUAAAAUUUAAAAUUGAAAAAUACUAUAUGAACUCUCAAAAUCAUGCUUAUAUAUAUAUUGACUGUCAAAGGUGUUAGUCAUCCGUUAAUUUGUCAAUACAACAACAUUUUUGAUAAAUUCUGUAAAAUGAAAAAAUAAUUUUUGGGAGGUUUUUCUUACACUGUGUUAGUUAAAAUAAUGACGUUGUUUUGAUAAUUAACGUUUUUUGGUAAAUCAACGGAUGACUAACACCUUUAACAGUCAAUAUAUAAGCACGAUUUUGAGAGUUUAUGUAGAAUUUUUAAAAAAAUUAUUUUACAGAAUUUAUCAACAAUGAUGUCGUUUUGGUAAAUUAACGGAUGACUAACACCUUUGAUGGUCAGUAUUUAUACAAGCAUGAUUUAAUUGUUCAUGUAGUAUUUUAAAAAUUUUAGUUUUUUACAGAAUUUAUCCAAAAUGACGUCGUUUUGAUAAACUAAUGGAUGACUAACAACUUUGGCGGUCAAUAUAUAUAAGUACGAUUUGAGAGUUCAUGUAGUAUUUUAAAUUUUUUAAUUUUACAUAAUUUGUCCAAAAUGACGUUGUUUGAAGAUUAACGGAUGACUAACACCUUUGACGGUUAAUAUAUAUAUAAGCACGAUUUUGAGUUUAUGUAGUAUUUUUAAAUUUUUGUUUAGUUCAGUAUGGAAGCACCACUAUAAAGUUCGGGAAGGAAAAGGCAUAAAUCGUAAAGUUCUUGUAGUAUUCUUUUAGUUUUUGUUUAGUUCAAUAUGGAAAACACACUAAUACAAAGUUCAAGAAGAGAAAAGCACGCGGCUUAUAGUUCAUGUUGCUUUUUUUCCUUUAGAGUCUAACUAAAUAGUCUUUCUAGAGUAAAAUUAUUUUUCAGCUGAGUUGCACUGACCAAAACCAAUCAGAAUAAAAAUAUAUAACUUUAUGUACAGUAACUUUUUUUGUCUUUUGUGAAUCUUUAACGUAAAUUUUUUUCUCUUUCUUAUGGAAUAAACUUUUACUCCAGCGUUACUUUUUCUCUCCUAUUUCAUUUCCACCCAUUUACUCUAAUUUUUAUUCCUCCCAAUUACUCAAUUUUUGCCAAUCACACCCUUAGUUUCAUUAUGCAUUUCUAUAGAUCAAGCUAAUUUAAUAAAUUAUUGUAUUUAAGUAAAUGUUUUUUAAUGAAAACUAAAUAUCUAAACAAAAUACAACAUAUUAUAAAUAAGUAAUGAAUAUCGACAAAAAUAAUCAUUUUAAUAAAUAUAUUGUAAUUUCAAUUAUACGAAAAUUCAAUACAAUUACAAAAUAAUGUGUCUAAAUACAUUUUACAGAAAUUAUAUUAAAUUUAUGAUUUGGGCUAUGCAGUGUAUGAAGACCCUGUAAUUCUCAGAUGUAGUUUUCACGACGGAUUUUUCUCAAUUGGUGAAGAUGGUGUCGCCACCUGAGGAAUGGCCAGCGUUUUCUACACACAUGGAAGAAUUCUGCCGCAUUAAGACUUUUUCUCUAAUUUCAAGAUCAGACAUAUUCCAAGGGCACGAAGUACAAUGGCGGACAAGCUUGCACGUGGUGCGAGAAGUUCUCAUCAACUAUGUUAUAUGUUGAUUUGAUACCUCCGGUUUGUCUAUUUGAACCGGUGGUGUUGUCAUAGAGUAGAUUCUUGUUAUAAAAAAUAUAUAUACAUAGGUUUUUACAAAAAAUAUUAUAAAAUUUAAUACAUACAUAUAUAUAUAUAUAAAGUGCAUACAUUCAUUUAAAUGAUUUCUAUAAAAGUAACUAUUUAAAUUUAUAAAUAUAAGCAGUCAAUAAAGUGCAUAAAUUCAUUUAAAUGAUUUCUAUAAAAAAUAUUAUAAUUGAUAUUUAAAUUUUGUACACAAUUAUAAUUAGUUUAUUUAUGUUAAUCAUCGUCAAUAAAAAUAAAAUCAACUAUAGCAUAUAUAUUUUUAUUUAUUUAAAGGGUUUUUGCACUAGAUAUACAUAGAAGAGUCGUAAAUUAAGUAACUGGUCAUGGAACUGUUCAGUUUCCAUAAAUACCGAAAGGACCCCUAUUUUGUGAGAAAUUCGAGAAUAUAGGGGCAAUCAGACAACCGGUAGAAAGCGGUAGAACACGCUUUGUAGUAAUGAUGGAAUCUUAUUGGAACUGAUAGAAAAUGUACUUUUGUCUACAUGCAAAAAACCAACCCCUAUCAGAAAACUGUACCCUUUAAUAUAUCAUCGAUUACUAGCCUUUAAUAUAUCAUCGACAUUUUGACAGCAACAGUACUCGACCUCACCAAAAUCACUUCUCUGCAAAUAUCAUCGAUACAUUAUCAGACGUAAUUGAAGUCGUUCCGAUUUGUGUCAGCUGUCUGUACUCCAUUGACAACGUAUUUCAUAUAAAUUAAGUGUUUGGAAAUCCGGAUACAGUUGUGACAGUGGUGGACAAAAAGACUUCUGCGAAGGGUUGUUUUGGAUCACAACUUUACAAACGAUGCCAGUUAAUGGAAGUAGCCGGUAGCAGGUAAAAUAGAGAUGGAUUCCGUCGAUUGCAACAAGGUUAAUAUGGACUUUCCAUGCAGUUAUUUCUCCUGGUUUGCCAAUUAAUAAAAAAAAUGUCCACUUACCUAAUUUCCAUUCUUGUUUUGGUUAUUCACCCAAAUCACCCUUAUUUAAACCCUGCAUAAAGGGUUGUUAUUUGGUCUAUGAACAAAAAAUAAAGCUGUGCAUAGUGUUCAUUGGUAAAAAAACAAAAAAAAAAUCACUCAUUGGGCCUCAUCAUUUGAUCAGACUCGUUUUACCCUUGUUUGUAGGACAUUUUUUUAAACACAACUUGAACCGCAUACAGUUCAUUAAAUAUUUUAUUAUUAAAUUUUUGUUCUGCAAAUUAAUUGUGAAUUGAAAACAAAUGCAGAUAAAACUGCAUGAUUCAAUCUCCUGCAUCUCUCAUGUCUUUCUCUUGCAUUACAUUGACACCCUAAUGCCUUUAAAAUUUGAUAUAAUACUUUUAAGAUUUUACCAAUAAAAAAAACUUUAACGGCUGAGUUUCUAUGACAGAGAUUAGGGCAUAUGUAUGUGUGCAAGAGUUAGCUGUCUUUAUUUUCUUAACUGUUUUUAUAAUAGAUACUGUCCACUAAUUAAUGCGUUAUUUAGUGGUCGAGAAGGACUGUAAAGGGUGAAUAAUAGAGACGACAGCGACUCGUCUCUGUCCAUGGCUUUUCCCCUUAAGAAGCUUAUAUCAAGCUUUCUACCUAUCUUCUCACCUACUACCAUCGUUAACUUAUCAGAACCACCUUGUGUUCGUUACAAAUCGAUCAUCAGCUUUGGUGAUUCUUCAGCAGACACCGGAAAUUUCCUCAGUCUCUCGGAUGACAUCAACCAUCCUCCUCAAGCCGCAUUCCUUCCAUACGGUGAAACCUUCUUUCAUCCUCCCUCCGGCCGUUACUUCGACUGUCGCCUCAUCAUCGAUUUCAUUGGUAACCUCUAUAAAACAUUUAUGCAGAACCGUUUGUUAUACUCUGGUUUAGGUCUUUUUUACUUGAACAUCAAGUUAAAACCCUACUUCCUCUUUGGGUUUUGUAAUGUUGUGUUCAUUACUUGGACAGCUGAGUUCUUGGCAGUGGCGGACCCAGGACUAAAUUUUACCUGGGUCAAACCAUGUAAAAAAAAUCAAAGGUGUCAACUGUAGGAUUCGAAACUGGGUUUAAACCUUUAGGGGUGUCACAAAGGGAAUUUGACCAACAGAGCUAUUGGUAUUUUAAUGUUAAUCCAUACAAAACAUAUAUUUAUCCAAAUUUAACGUGUGUCAUGUGCAACCCUAUCCUCUCAAGUGGGUCCGCCACUGGUUCUUGGGACAACCUUAUGUACCACCUUACUUUGGCUCUAAAAGUGUGAGCUUUGAUCAAGGGGUCAAUUUCGCGGUGUAUGGAGCAACCGCUUUGGAUCGUGCGUUACUUGUGGAAAAAGGAAUUAAAUCUGAUUUCACCAAUGUUAGUUGAAGUGUUCAGCUUAACAUCUUCAAGAAAAUUUUGCCUAACCUUUGCGCCUCGUCUUCUCGUGAUUGCAGAGAGGUGUUCGGAGACUCGCUGAUACUCAUGGGAGAGUUGGAGUUAACGACUAUAAUUACCCGUUUUUUGAAGGCGAAAGUAUCAAUGAGAUUAAAGAGCUAGUUCCUCUAGUCAUCAAAGCUAUAUCUUCUGCAAUUGUGCAACAAAACUACAGGAAUUGAUCGAUUUGGGAGGCAAAACAUUUCUGGUUCCUGGAAACUUUCCACUUGGAUGUUUCCCUGCGUAUCUUACUCUAUUUGAGACCUCGGAAAAAGAACACGACCCUUUUACAGGUUGUAUCCCAUGGCUCAACGACUUUGGAGAGUACCAUAAUGAACAGCUUAAGACAGAACUUACACAACUCCAAAAGCUCUACCCUCAUGUCUGUUAGAACUCGUUUUUGACAAAGUGGUGCAAACCAUUUUUCAAAGGAUUUUUUCGACGGAGACGUCUGUCGAAAAGACCAGAAUUUGGGCACGAUGUAAUCAUCACCGUGAACACUAUGCGUUAGUGUAUUUGUUGGUCAAAAUCAGAGUUGUGUUGAAUGAGAAAUGGAGGUCCAAAGUGAAUGAUGUGUAAAACUUAUAAAGCUUUAAACUUGGCUAAGUAUAAAAUAUUUAGCAAAUGGAUCACUUUGGAUAUUUGGGUUAGAAUUUAAUUUUAAAUUUGUUAAUGGGACAUUAUGUCAA
This is an RNA transcript of Brassica napus (rape), 5599 nucleotides long. It is a transcript of the gene named GDSL esterase/lipase At1g28650-like, with no coding region annotated. The transcript has 4 exons. NCBI's taxonomy places the organism in Eukaryota, Viridiplantae, Streptophyta, Magnoliopsida, Brassicales, Brassicaceae. The record is from RefSeq and is a predicted model, not a curated record.